CGGCACGGGUGCGUAACGCGUAUAGCAACCUACCAUCAACAGGGGGAUAACACUGAGAAAUUGGUACUAAUACCCCAUAAUAUCUCAUGCGGCAUCGCAUGGGGUUGAAAACUCCGGUGGUUGAUGAUGGGCAUGCGUUGUAUUAGCUGGUUGGUGAGGUAACGGCUCACCAAGGCGACGAUACAUGGGGGGACUGAGAGGUUAACCCCCCACAUUGGUACUGAGACACGGACCAAACUCCUACGGGAGGCAGCAG
RNAcentral lists this ribosomal RNA (256 nucleotides) under uncultured bacterium. RNAcentral's name for it is "partial 16S ribosomal RNA". It matches the Rfam family "Bacterial small subunit ribosomal RNA", at positions 98 to 354 of the family's 1533-position model. The record is from RNAcentral.